RNAcentral lists this long non-coding RNA (3201 nucleotides) under Triticum aestivum (bread wheat). RNAcentral's name for it is "long non-coding RNA (TAES_LNC023177)". Lineage: Eukaryota; Viridiplantae; Streptophyta; Magnoliopsida; Poales; Poaceae. The record is from RNAcentral.
UGCCUUGUAGUGAAAUUGGAAUGGCCUGAGUUACAACCCAGGGUGUGAGGCUCCUUAUAUAGGACAGCCGAACCGACCUAAGCAAAAUAUCAGCUAGCAGUGAGGUAAGCACUUGCGUCACUAGCUAGCUUACCAAGCAAGCUACGUUUCUACUACUACUAAACUUCACUAGUAAGGCAUGCAGCCUUUGUUGCUGCCGACAUGCAUACUACAAGCUAGUAAGUAAAUACUGCUACAGCUACAUGCAUGUUGUGCCGCUACAUGCAUGUUGUAGACCAUCCGGAGACCAAGGUUGACUCAACAAUCUCCUCCUCAACCUUGUCGAAGGAGCUUGAUGUCGAUGAUGCCGACCUUCUCGCACUGCUCCUGGAAUCAGACAUGACCAAGUGCCUUCGUUGGGAUGUCCGCCUUCUCAGGCUAUGUAUGGCCCGUACACCCUGCUCGCGCUUCUUGAUCUCGGGUGCUGCGAUCGUCUCGCAGGCUCGAGAAGGUUCCUCUAGUCUUCGGAACCUGUGUGGAUCGCCACCAUUUUUUGUUGGCAUCGAACAAGUCCGACCGCGCUGUUGGCGGGGACAUGAACUGCCCGGGAACCACCUCGCUCGUGGGCGUCAGUGUUCCUGGGGUCGUAGUUCCUGAUGUCACACUGCCCAGGAACUCCUUUCCCGGGGUCGUCGUGUUGGACGUCAUGCUACCCAGGAACUCCCUUCCCGGGGAUGACUUGUUGGACAUCGCACUACCCAGGAACUCCCUUCCUGGGGUCGUCGUGCCGGACACCGCACUGCCCGGAAACUCCCUUCCCGGGGUCGUUGUGCCAGACGCCACACUGACCGGAGUGGCUCCUCUCAGGGUAGUGGAGUCCUUGGUGCUCUUCCCAUCAGGCUUGCUUGUCGGGUCUCCCUUGACUAUCGUGAGUCGUGCCUCCCGCACGGACUCGAUGGACCCCGAGUGCGUCGGGGUUGUGGCGUGGCCGACCAUAGAGCACCGUGCCUCCUGCACGGUCUCGACGGUCGCCACCAGCGUAGCCGGGUCGUGCCCAACUACAGAGUCCCGUGCGUCCCGCACGGACUCGAUGGACCCCGAGCGCGUCGGGGUCGCGGCAUAGCCGACCAGAGAGUGUUGUGCCUCCUGCACGGACUCUAUGGUCGCCGUAGUCUCGGUCGAGGCCUUGCCACCCCAUGACCGUCUCUUCAUUGCCUCCAAGUUGAGACUUGUUGAAGAGUGCCGUGUCGGCCACACGGGCUUGCAGAACCCCGAGAACCUGGUUGUCGGGGUGUGGCCGACCUGAGAAUGUCGUGCCUCUCGCACGGGCUCACUGGUCGCCAGCAUCAUGGUCGGGACAUGGCCCACCAGAUGCGUCGUUGUCGUGCCUCCUGACACGGGCUUGUCGGGUCCCGAGGAUGUCGGGGACACCUUUGCCGUGCCAACUUGCACGGGCUUGACCAGCGUCGCAGGGGACGUGGUUUCCGGGGUGUGGCUCCCCCACACCCGGGUCUUCAUCUCCUCCCAAUCGUAGCCUCCCGAGAACGUUGUUGCCGAGGAGAGCGCUACCGAUGUCGGGAGGGGAUUACUUGAAGAGCUCCAUGCCUCCCGCAAGGACUUAACGAUUGCCGGCACCGUGGUCUCCGGAGGUGAUGCGCCCUCCUGCACGGCUUCGAUGCUUGUCGGGACCAUGGUCUCCGGAGGCGCUAUGCCCUCCUGCAUGGUCUCGACGCAAGCCAUCAUCAUUGCUGGCCCACCGUCCUCUUCAGCCUCGACGAGGUUCGCCGCAGCCGUGGCAUCCUCGUCAGCCAUCCUGUUGCGGCACUCACGGGCCCAGUGGCCCUUGAUGCUGCAAUAUCGGCACUUGUCUCGGUCGUCGUUGCCGGCACCUCGUCCGGCUCCACCCUGGGUGCGACCGCCGUCUCUGCCGGUGCCGCCUCCGCUGCUCUGGGCACCGCCACCACGUCCUUGACGCUUCCUCGCCUCCCACUUCUUCGAGAAUAGGAGUUGUCCGCCGCCGAAGCUCUCGCGGCCGUCAUCAAGGCGGUCCUCGACCACCCGCAACCGGCCCGUGAGCUCCUCGAUGGAGAGCUCGCUCAGGUCAAGCAAAGUCUUGAUGGAGACCGCUACCUGAGCGAAACGAGGUGGAACGACGCGGAGAAAUUUCCGCACGACUCUCACGUCGUCCAUGGUGUCGCCGAGUGCGCGGAGCUUUGACGCAAGGCUGGAGAUUCGCAUGGCAAAGUUGUCGACGAGCUCGCCCUCCUUGAAGGCGAUGUUCUCGAAGUCCGCCCGCAGCUUCUGCGUGUUCGCCUCACGCACGCGGUUGCUGCCGAGGCGCUGGGUACGGAUGGCUUCCCACGCCUCCUUGGCGCUUGCCUUCGCCGCGAGCAUGCUGUGCAUCUCCGGCGGCGUGGCGCGCAUGAGUGCCGCCACGGCUUUCCUGUCCUCCUUUCUCUCGACCAGGUCGUCCUCCAUGGGAGCCCAGAGGCUCGCCGCAUGAAGGUUGCACUCCAUGAUCAACGCCCACUCGCUGUAGUUCGAGCGCGUGAGCAUCGGGAAGGUGAUGGGCACGCUACCGCUGAUUGCGGUCUCGCGCACGAUCUCCCUAACCACGACCUCACCGCGAUGGCCGCGCCUGGAGCGGCUGCGCCCUCGCCGCUCCUCCGGAGCCGGCGACUGGGAACCACCCGAGGUGGUGCGUUGCUGCACUCCUUUACCACCGGCCAUGGCUACCACAACCAGAGGCUCUGAUGCCAAUUGUUAGCCCAGAACUACAACGUAGCUGGCUAGUAUCCUCAGGAACGAACUACGGUAGCCAAGCACUCACGGAAGCAACACACACGUACUAGCAGAGUAGAGCUCACUUGAUUCUACACUGAACAUGCACACACACGUGAGAGAGGAGUACUACUUGAGCUGCCUUGUAGUGAAAUUGGAAUGGCCUGAGUUACAACCCAGGGUGUGAGGCUCCUUAUAUAGGACAGCCAAACCGACCUAAGCAAAAUAUCAACUAGCAGUGAGGUAAGCACUUGCGUCACUAGCUAGCUUACCAAGCAAGCAACGUUUCUACUACUACUAAACUUCACUAGUAAGGCAUGCAGCCUUUGUUGCUGCCGACAUGCAUACUACAAGCUAGUAAGUAAAUACUGCUACAGCUACAUGCAUGUUGUGCCGCUACAUGCAUGUUGUAGACCAUCCGGAGACCAAGGUUGACUCAGC